RNAcentral lists this long non-coding RNA (4307 nucleotides) under Equus caballus (horse). RNAcentral describes it as "lncRNA (ENSECAG00000046998.1)". Lineage: Eukaryota; Metazoa; Chordata; Mammalia; Perissodactyla; Equidae. The record is from RNAcentral.
AGAAAACUUGGCAUUGUGUUAAAAAUGUCUGAUUUUUAAGAAAACUCUGCUCGAUUCUGUCUUUUCAACGUGGAGGGAGAGCAUCAGGCUGAGUCAAACUAGCCAAUGGGAUUUUUACUCCAUAACAUAACCAUGCAGUCAGUCUUUGAUUGACAAUUAAUGAUUGAUACUUUGCUUUAAUGAGCUUUAGUUCAGAAAGUUUUGCCCAGCACCAAGGAGUCUGAUAGAUAGGUCAUGUGGCAGCACCACCACAGCACAUUCAAUACACAGUUCAUCUUGCCUAUAUCAUUACUUUGUCUGUUCCUCAGUGUCCACACCCAGAUUUACUACCCCUAAUUCUUCUCUCGUACUUUUUGAUAAAGAAUCAAAUGCAUUUUGGAUCUUCAUAUGGAAUUACAUGUUGGAAUGGAAAGAAAUUAAACCCAAAGGCCUGGGUCUGCCAUUGUGUGACCUGAAAUACGCAUUUGACCAUUCUGUGUCUUUCCUUGUGUGUGAAAUCGGUUUCAGAUUAAUGAAGCAUUGAUGCACUAUGUAUCCUGUUUGGUAAGACUUUUAUUCAAAUACAUUUUUGCAUAAUUAGGUUGUCAUGCAGGGAAUUCCAGUGUAAAAUAAAGUCCAGUGGAUAUGGGUUAUUUCAAUAAUAGCCCUUUUGUUAUUUAGAUGUAAACUUACCUGCUUGUUCUAUUUGGAAAUCAGUUUGUUUAUACUACCUUAUGUUUAUAUCUUUAGCUUCUUCUGUACUGUGUCUUUCUUAUCCCCAUAAAUAUGAAUUAUCGACUACAUGAAACUGAUUCCAUAAGCUACAAGCUUAAAAAUUUGCACAAUUCUUAUGUUUGGCAAAAUUCUACGGAGGAAGAUAAUGUAUUGAAAAUAAAUAGGCUUGGUUAUGGGAAUGAUUCCAAGUUUCAGUCCUUGGCAGGGUUGGACUUCCACUGGAAAAUAAAAUUAGCCAAAACUGUAGCUCAAAAUCUUUUGAAAGAUAAAGCUAUGGGGAUUACACUAAUGUAUUCAAGGUGUCCAUGUACUUUGAGUACAGCUAAUAAUAAGCUCCCUGGAAAAUAUGAUGAAGACACUGGCAGGUUGUCAAAGUUCAACAAAAUCAACUUCAUGCACAUCCAAGACUACCAUUUCCAAAAUAAAUGGGUGGAUUCACCUUUAUCGUCUCAUUUGGAAUGCUAACUUUGGGAGUGUGGGAGGCAUUUUUCAUAAUCACAGGGAAGGGGACAAUAAGCUUUGCCUCCCACAUUCAGUGUGUCCUCACUGCUGUUUUAUCUCAGCAUCUGAAAUUCAAAGCAGCUUCCUCCAAAGCAAAAGGCCACCCAGGAGCUGGAAGGAAAGGAGCACAGGGAGGAAUUUGUGGUGAAAUUUGGCCACAGUCCCCGAAAGCCCACUUUCCUGUAUUUUUUCAGUGCUGAGUAAUAUUUAAGUGCUCCUAAUGAGAUAGAUGUUCUGCCCACCAGACUCAGCCUUCAGGAAUUCUGGAGCAGUGCUGUAUUCUUCCUAAGAUGAUUAGACUACAGAUAUUACUUCGCUGUUCCAAAACACAGAGAAACUAAUGAAAAUAUUUCAGAUCAUGAGAAUUUCCCUCGUAGUCUAGCUACAUCUCAGGUUCAUAGAAAAGGGUUUAAUUUUCAUAGCUGAAUAAAUAACUCUCUUUCUUUCGGGAGUUGUAUAACUCCCAGCAGUCAUGCUCAGCUAAGGAGCGGAAGUGCAGGUUGUGUCAGAAUCACCUGUGACUCUUUUUCAACUCACACAUUCUCUCCUCUCAAUAGGCCCCAUUUUCUCCCUAAGAUUCUGCACAUUCCUGCCCAUGGGGCAGCAUGGAUAGAAUCUGCCACUGUGAUCAACAGCUAUUUAUGAGAGUGAGUUGUAUCUCCUAGAGAUUGGGGUGGGAAAAAGGCUGAGAAACAGCUCCACUGUCUUGGAGCAACAUUUCUCGACAGUGUCCCCAGCUCUUCAGGGAUUCAUGGGGUUGGUAAUGGAGACCUGCAGGCGAUGUUCAUUAUUUUUUAAAACAAUCUUCUGGAAGCUGUAUAUCUGCUGACAGUAGAGCUGCUCUAGCUGCUGGCUGAAACCUUGUCUCUUGUCUUCCAGUUACAAUCACAUCGCCUCCUGGAGAUAAGCUAAUUAUCAGGCUAUUUGGAAGCUCUGAUGAGCUUGAUGAAUAGAAAUGAAAAAAAUGAAUUAUAUUUAAUUAAGUCUGGUCAUUUGAUAGACAAUUUCAAAACAUGUGACACAUAGAAUACAAAUAAUUAAAAGGGCACAUGGCAGCUAAAAAGUUUGUAAACCACUGACCUCAAAUGAGGUAGAAUUCAGCAUAGAAGAAAUAUCUGUUGAUUUCUCUUUAAUUAACAACUUUCUUAUUACUAUUGGCAUCUCUGUGUAGAUAAGUGCACAGAUCUACACAUAUGUUCUAAAAUAGAUAGGAAUGAAGAAAGAACAGCAGAUAGACUAACUGGGGAUAGAGCUGUCUAUACAUUGACAGCUGUAAUCAUUUAUUAAUUUUAAUGUGAUCUUUUAAAAUUAUUCCUGUUUUAUUUAUCUUCAGUAAAUUUGAAUUCCACAGCCUCGCUCUUCCUGGAUGAGUGCCAUGGGUGAGACUGUGGGAGGCUCAAUUUCAGAAUGCAUUUUUACAAAAUUACUGUCAUCAGUAAGUUCUGGAUCUUACAUAAGGCUUCAGUGACUCCCACCAUCAGUCUACUGAUUCGAAGGUUAAUCUCAUCCAGAAACAUCCUCACAGACACACUCAGAAACAAUGUUUACAAUGGUCUGAAUGUUCAUGUCCCUUCAAAAUUCAUACAUUGAAUUCCUAACCCCCAAGGAGAUGGUAUUAGGAAGCGGGGCCUUCGGGAGGUGAUUAGGUCAUGAAGGCAGAGCCCUCAUGGAUGAGGUUAGCGCCCUUAUGAAGGAGACCCCGGAGAGCUGCCUUGCCUUUUCUGCCGUGGGAUGUCACAGUGAGAAGUAAAGGACGGCCAUCUAGGAAGCAGCUCUUCAACAGACACUGAAUCUGCUGGCACCUUGAUCUUCCAGCCUCCAGAACUGUGAGAAAGAAAUUUUCGUUGUUUAUAAGUCACUCAGUUUAUGGUAUUUCUUUUUUAUAGCAGCCCAAAUGGACUAAGACAACGUAUAACCAAAUAUCCAGACACCCCCUGACCCAGUCAAGUUGUUACAUAAAAUUAACCACCCAAACUAUUGUGGUUGUUUUUGUUGUGGUUAUAUUAUCUUCUUAUGUGGAGCUGAAAUUAAUGCAAGUAGAUCAAUCAAAUCAACAUUGAAAUAUAGACAAAUGUAAAUGGGUAAUAUGUAUAAUGUGUAUUUUACAUUUCUUAGGAGAACACACAUAUUAUUCAAAGAUUAAUCUGCUUGGCUGAAAAGAUAACUUCAACUACAUUUUAAGGACAUUUCUUCUUAUAGAUACACGUGUAGGUCAGGCACCAGACAACUUACGAAUAAUAAGUUGACUGACAAGACAGUAGACACAAAAUAGACCAACGUAUACAAAUAUUAGGACCUUCUUCGAUUACUGUAAUUUUAAUGCAUCAAUUGGACAGCAGGCUUUUGAAGCUGCUAAAUUAAGGCAGAGUUCUUGCAACACAAGACACCUUUGCGUGUGAGGAGCACUUGCAAAACUUCACGGACAGUUUACUAAAAAAGACUGAAGGAAAUUCCUACAAACUAUUGGCAAAACUGUAAGUGCUGAGUUCACCUCUCCUCAAGCUGCCACUGUGAAUAUGUCGCCCGCAGCUUUGUAACCUGGAGGACCCGGGCCUUGUGCCUGGGUCAGCCCCUGCCCACGUCCUCAGCUUUGUCUCCGCCUCCUCCCCUUUUCUCUCCUUCAUUGAUGCCGGGCUUCUCUUAGUUCCAUCAGUUGGCCAUGCUCAUCCUCACCUUCAGGCUUCUGCACACGCUACUCCUUUCUAUGGGGAAUGGUCUUUCCUCACUCCUGGUUAAGCCCUUCUCAUCCUUCUGUUCUAGCUGAGGUAUCAUUUCUUCAAGGAGGGAUUCCAGGAUCCCCCAGAUGAGUUCUGACCCCUCUGAGAUAUGCUUCAGAGCAGAUAUUUUCCCUUCUUAUAGCACUAUCUCCCACUUAACUAAUUUUCUUACUGUAUUUUUUAGUAACUCUAUAUACCAAGAUCAUGUAAACUCCUGAGGAGAAGGGCCCACGUUUACUUUAUAGUUCUCAGGUUUUAUCACAGUGCCUGACACAUGGUAGCACCUCACUAAAUACCACAUUUAAGUGAAUCUAAGAUGCAUUGAUUGUAAGACACAUUGGUAUUUUAUAUACACCAAGAAGAAAAAACUUCCAA